GAUUAACGCUGGCGGCGUGCAUAACACAUGCAAGUCGAACGAUGAAACUUUACUGACUUCUUCGGAAUGAUUUAAAGCGGAUUAUUGGCGAACGGGUGAGUAACGCGUGAGUAACCUGCCUUACACAAGGGGAUAGCCUCUGGAAACGGAGAAUCAUACCCUAUGAAACCAGACAAUCGCAUGAUAAUCUGGUCAUAAUGUUUAGUGGUGUAAGAUGGACUUGCGUCUGAUUAGCUAGUUGGUGAGAUAAAAGCUCACCAAGGCAACGAUCAGUAGCCGGCGGUGGAGAGUGAACGGCAACAUUGGGACUGGGACACGGCCCAGACUCCUACGGGAGGCAGCAGUGGGGAAUGUUGCACAAUGGGGGGAACCCUGAUGCAGCGAUGCCGCGUGAUUUAGAAGGCCUUCGGGUUGUAAAAAUCUUUUGUAUAGGAAGAAAAUGACAGUACUAAAAGAAUAAGGUCCGGCUAAUUACGUG
RNAcentral lists this ribosomal RNA (478 nucleotides) under uncultured bacterium. RNAcentral describes it as "partial 16S ribosomal RNA". It matches the Rfam family "Bacterial small subunit ribosomal RNA", at positions 28 to 507 of the family's 1533-position model. The record is from RNAcentral.